AACUUUUAACAAUGGAUCUCUUGGUUUUGGCUUCGAUGAAGAACGCAGCGAAAUGCGAUAAGUAAUGUGAAUUGCAGAAUCAGUGAAUCAUCGAAUUUUUGAACGCAUAUUGCACUCCUUGGCAUUCCUUGGAGUACACUUGUUCGAGCGCCGGUUGUCUCUUAAGGCUCUGCCUUGCGUUGAGAUCUCCCCAGCGGAGUGCUCCAAACACAUGGGCGUCUGUCGUGCCUGAACCGCAACAUUCUGCGUCUAAAGGACCCGGCUGCGCCAGUCAACCGUCUAGCAUGGCCUCGGAUCAAGUGGGGAUACCCGCUAAACUUAAGCAUAUCAAUAAGCGGAGGCU
This 343-nucleotide unclassified non-coding RNA is filed under the name uncultured Ascomycota. RNAcentral's name for it is "sequence contains ITS2". The stretch from base 1 to 153 matches the Rfam family "5.8S ribosomal RNA". The record is from RNAcentral. Lineage: Eukaryota; Fungi; Ascomycota.